AACGCUAGCUACAGGCUUAACACAUGCAAGUCGAGGGGCAGCAUGGUCUUAGCUUGCUAAGGCCGAUGGCGACCGGCGCACGGGUGAGUAACACGUAUCCAACCUGCCGUCUACUCUUGGACAGCCUUCUGAAAGGAAGAUUAAUACAAGAUGGCAUCAUGAGUCCGCAUGUUCACAUGAUUAAAGGUAUUCCGGUAGACGAUGGGGAUGCGUUCCAUUAGAUAGUAGGCGGGGUAACGGCCCACCUAGUCUUCGAUGGAUAGGGGUUCUGAGAGGAAGGUCCCCCACAUUGGAACUGAGACACGGUCCAAACUCCUACGGGAGGCAGCAGUGAGGAAUAUUGGUCAAUGGGCGAGAGCCUGAACCAGCCAAGUAGCGUGAAGGAUGACUGCCCUAUGGGUUGUAAACUUCUUUUAUAAAGGAAUAAAGUCGGGUAUGCAUACCCGUUUGCAUGUACUUUAUGAAUAAGGAUCGGCUAACUCCGUGCCAGCAGCCGCGGUAAUACGGAGGAUCCGAGCGUUAUCCGGAUUUAUUGGGUUUAAAGGGAGCGUAGAUGGAUGUUUAAGUCAGUUGUGAAAGUUUGCGGCUCAACCGUAAAAUUGCAGUUGAUACUGGAUAUCUUGAGUGCAGUUGAGGCAGGCGGAAUUCGUGGUGUAGCGGUGAAAUGCUUAGAUAUCACGAAGAACUCCGAUUG
RNAcentral lists this ribosomal RNA (694 nucleotides) under uncultured bacterium. RNAcentral describes it as "bacterial SSU rRNA". It matches the Rfam family "Bacterial small subunit ribosomal RNA", at positions 32 to 715 of the family's 1533-position model. RNAcentral also lists the same sequence under 1 other name. The record is from RNAcentral.